AACAAGGUCUCCGUUGGUGAACCAGCGGAGGGAUCAUUACCGAGUUUACAACUCCCAAACCCCUGUGAACAUACCUUAUGUUGCCUCGGCGGAUCAGCCCGCGCCCCGUAAAAAGGGACGGCCCGCCGCAGGAACCCUAAACUCUGUUUUUAGUGGAACUUCUGAGUAUAAAAAACAAAUAAAUCAAAACUUUCAACAACGGAUCUCUUGGUUCUGGCAUCGAUGAAGAACGCAGCAAAAUGCGAUAAGUAAUGUGAAUUGCAGAAUUCAGUGAAUCAUCGAAUCUUUGAACGCACAUUGCGCCCGCCAGUAUUCUGGCGGGCAUGCCUGUUCGAGCGUCAUUUCAACCCUCAAGCUCAGCUUGGUGUUGGGAGCUGCAGUCCUGCUGCACUCCCCAAAUACAUUGGCGGUCACGUCGAGCUUCCAUAGCGUAGUAAUUUACACAUCGUUACUGGUAAUCGUCGCGGCCACGCCGUUAAACCCCAACUUCUGAAUGUUGACCUCGGAUCAGGUAGGAAUACCCGCUGAACUUAAGCAUA
This 539-nucleotide ribosomal RNA is filed under the name Fusarium graminearum. RNAcentral's name for it is "eukaryotic LSU rRNA". The stretch from base 188 to 341 matches the Rfam family "5.8S ribosomal RNA". Lineage: Eukaryota; Fungi; Ascomycota; Sordariomycetes; Hypocreales; Nectriaceae. The record is from RNAcentral.